UACGUAGGUGACCAGCGUUGUCCGGAUUUACUGGGCGUAAAGAGCGCGCAGGCGGUCGUUCAAGUCGAGUGUGAAAGCCCCCGGCUCAACUGGGGAGGGUCAUUCGAUACUGAUCGACUGGAAGGCAGGAGAGGGAAGCGGAAUUCCCGGUGUAGUGGUGAAAUGCGUAGAUAUCGGGAGGAACACCAGUGGCGAAGGCGGCUCCUCGGCGUGUUCUUGACGCUGAGGCGCGAAAGCUAGGGGAGCAAACGGGAUGAGAAA
This 261-nucleotide ribosomal RNA is filed under the name uncultured bacterium. Its description in RNAcentral is "partial 16S ribosomal RNA". It matches the Rfam family "Bacterial small subunit ribosomal RNA", at positions 524 to 784 of the family's 1533-position model. The record is from RNAcentral.